GUUGUGGGGUCCUGGGAAGGGAAUCGCGAGUGGGGAAAAUCCCUGAGGUCGGCUCCAUCACCACCGCAGGCUGUCGCAUGGCUGGACGAAACUCGUUUCCUCGUCGUGCAAGACAAUUCCAUUUGUGCGAACUCUUACUCGGGCGAGCAACUGCAAGCGAGAUACUUUACUGAUGAUGAGUUGGGGGGAAGAUUGGGCAAGUUGGUGUCGCUCCUGGUGAAACCGAUCAACACGACGUGGAAGAACACGGGGUCGUUUACGAUUGGGCUGAUUUGGGAAAAUAAAAUUUGCCUGUUAAGAACUGUGAAUGAUUUGCAAGGGUUAAUUUUUGACCCACAAUUAACCAUCUCUUGCUCCGACUGGUCUCCAAAUGGGGUCUUCAUAGCGGUGGGUGGAACCAAGCGAAAUCUUCAAGAAGUCAGUGGUGCGCAAGUCAAUAUUUUCAAUU
Folsomia candida is the source of this 448-nucleotide long non-coding RNA. RefSeq lists it as uncharacterized. The transcript has 3 exons. The record is from RefSeq and is a predicted model, not a curated record. Lineage: Eukaryota; Metazoa; Arthropoda; Collembola; Entomobryomorpha; Isotomidae.